AUUCUCAGUUCGGAUUGUAGGCUGAAACUCGCCUACAUGAAGCUGGAGUUACUAGUAAUCGCAGAUCAGAAUGCUGCGGUGAAUGCGUUCCCGGGUCUUGUACACACCGCCCGUCACACCAUGGGAGUCGGAAAUGCCCGAAGUCAGUGACCCAACCGUAAGGAGGGAGCUGCCGAAGGUGGAGCCGGUAACUGGGGUGAAGUCGUAACAAGGUAUC
This 217-nucleotide ribosomal RNA is filed under the name uncultured bacterium. RNAcentral describes it as "partial 16S ribosomal RNA". It matches the Rfam family "Bacterial small subunit ribosomal RNA", at positions 1284 to 1500 of the family's 1533-position model. The record is from RNAcentral.